Molecule: unclassified non-coding RNA, 379 nt
Filed under: uncultured Microbacteriaceae bacterium
Lineage: Bacteria; Bacillati; Actinomycetota; Actinomycetes; Micrococcales; Microbacteriaceae
Description: contains 16S-23S intergenic spacer region
Source: RNAcentral
UCCGUGUUGACCACGGCAGUAUCCCAUGAGUUCCCGGCAUAACCCGCUGGCAACAUAGGACGAGGGUUGCGCUCGUUGCCGGACUUAACCGAACAUCUCACGACACGAGCUGACGACAACCAUGCACCACCUGUAUAGAAGUGUCCAAAGAGUUGACGAUCUCUCGCCCGUUCUUCUAUAUGUCAAGCCUUGGUAAGGUUCUUCGCGUUGCAUCGAAUUAAUCCGCAUGCUCCACCGCUUGUGCGGGCCCCCGUCAAUUCCUUUGAGUUUUAGCCUUGCGGCCGUACUCCCCAGGCGGGGAACUUAAUGCGUUAGCUACGACACAGAACCCGUGGAACAGGCCCUACAUCUAGUUCCCAACGUUUACGGCAUGGACUAC